CUCUGUUGAACCAUGUUUCAUCCAUCUCUUUCCCAAAGAGAAUAUUAUCUUCUACUGAAGCGUUUUGUAUCCAAGCUUGCUGGGGGACAUAAGCUGUGGUGCCCUAUAAAAACAGAAGAAGAAGAAUGAAUUCAACAUUAAAUAUGAAGCAAACUGAGAAGCCUCCAGGUACUCCAUACUGGUUUCACUUAGUUCCUGAGGAAUUAGUUCAUUCAGCAUCCACCUGGACCUACAGAACUGAGAUGAUUAAAGAAUGUACCUGAAACUGACUCCUCUUCUUGGUGAUCAUGAAAUUCAGAGGCAAAAGAAAAAAGAAUACAGCAAUCGAGGUCAAGGCAGAUGGCCCAAGAAGCUGCCGGAAAGAAAAGGAAAGAGGAAGAAUUUAUGGAACUAGAUUAGUGCUGAAAGUCAUCCAGAAGCAUGUUGGAAAUUCAAGUAAUUUCUGUUUCUGCUCAUCUGAUCUUAGAUGUGUUAAGGACAUCUUGUGGCUGGCAUAACCCAGGCAACAAUUUCUUCAGAGGAGUCCUCUUUCCUCACUGACCACAAGUCAUCCACCCCCAAGGACUGUUUAAAGCCUUUCUGGAGAAGCCUGGAGAACAGACAAACUGCUGUAAGAGAACCACCAGUAUGUGAUUUUGGAAAGAAAAUUGCUGCUGGCUUCGGGACACUGAUUCUGAUGGGAGGAAAAACAUGGGUGAUAUUUAUAUAUAGAAAAGGGCACGUGUCAGACGAAUAUAGUCCCCUUGUGUGUUUCCCCAGGAAAAUCAAUGAAGAAGUUAAACACACCCCAUUCAUUGACACCGACAGCGGGUUGUGGAGGAUCAAUGACUUUGGGAGACUUUGCAGAAUUAGACUUUGUAUGUCUCAGAUGGAGGAACAAACAAUAUAAUUCUUCAUACCCAAAGACAUUUAUUUCUUGAAGCAGUAUAAGCCCUACCUACUGGAUUCAAUAAAAAUAAAAAUGAGUAUGGAUAGAUGAGGUUUUUAGUUUUUAAAAACACACAUAGAGAGACAGAGUACUGUUAUCUCAAAUUCUGCUGGUUACCUUUUAAAACUUCAGCCAUUACACGGAAUGAUGCAUCUUGCAUCUGCCAAAUACUCGAGUUCCUGUGUAUCCCCAUAAAUAUAAAUUCCCGUUUGAGCAAUAAGGCAAUGUAUAAGCUACAUUACACUUACAGGAUUGUUGACAACUUCAGAGAAGAAGGGAGGGUGAUCAACUAGGCAGAAUAACACAAGUUCUCCCAGCACCAGGAUGGUGAAAAGGGCAUGCUGGACUUUGGAAGUAAACAUCACAACUGCAGCCAGCACUGAGAGCAGCCAGUAAAUCAACAGGAUGCCUGAAGACUGGAUGCCCGCCAUUCUUUCUGCUUGGGUAAGAAAUAUGGCAAGGAUCUGUGAG
Cuculus canorus (common cuckoo) is the source of this 1399-nucleotide long non-coding RNA. RefSeq lists it as uncharacterized. The record is from RefSeq and is a predicted model, not a curated record. The transcript is spliced from 7 exons. NCBI's taxonomy places the organism in Eukaryota, Metazoa, Chordata, Aves, Cuculiformes, Cuculidae.